GAUGAACGCUGGCGGCGUGCCUAAUACAUGCAAGUCGAGCGAACGGACGAGAAGCUUGCUUCUCUGAUGUUAGCGGCGGACGGGUGAGUAACACGUGGAUAACCUACCUAUAAGACUGGGAUAACUUCGGGAAACCGGAGCUAAUACCGGAUAAUAUUUUGAACCGCAUGGUUCAAAAGUGAAAGACGGUCUUGCUGUCACUUAUAGAUGGAUCCGCGCUGCAUUAGCUAGUUGGUAAGGUAACGGCUUACCAAGGCAACGAUGCAUAGCCGACCUGAGAGGGUGAUAGGCCACACUGGAACUGAGACACGGUCCAGACUCCUACGGGAGGCAGCAGUAGGGAAUCUUCCGCAAUGGGCGAAAGCCUGACGGAGCAACGCCGCGUGAGUGAUGAAGGUCUUCGGAUCGUAAAACUCUGUUAUUAGGGAAGAACAUAUGUGUAAGUAAAUGUGCACAUCUUGACGGUACCUAAUCAGAAAGCCACGGCUAACUACGUG
Molecule: ribosomal RNA, 497 nt
Filed under: uncultured bacterium
Lineage: Bacteria
Description: partial 16S ribosomal RNA
Rfam family: Bacterial small subunit ribosomal RNA
Source: RNAcentral